This 468-nucleotide ribosomal RNA is filed under the name uncultured bacterium. Its description in RNAcentral is "partial 16S ribosomal RNA". It matches the Rfam family "Bacterial small subunit ribosomal RNA", at positions 28 to 507 of the family's 1533-position model. The record is from RNAcentral.
GACGAACGCUGGCGGCGUGCUUAACACAUGCAAGUCGAACGGAAAGGCCCUGCUUUUGUGGGGUGCUCGAGUGGCGAACGGGUGAGUAACACGUGAGUAACCUGCCCGUGACUUUGGGAUAACUUCAGGAAACUGGGACUAAUACCGGAUAGGAGCUCCUGCUGCAUGGUGUUGGCUGAAAAGUUUCGGCGGUUGGGGGUGGACUCGCGGCUUAUCAGCUUGUGGGUGGGGUAGUGGCUUACCAAGGCUUUGACGGGUAGCCGGCCUGAGAGGGUGACCGGCCACAUUGGGACUGAGAUACGAGCCAGAGUGCUACGGGAGGAAGCAGUGGGGAAUAUUGCACAAUGGGCGGAAGCAUGAUGCAGCAACGCCGCGUGCGGGAUGACGGCCUUCGGGUUGUAAACCGCUUUAGCCUGUGACGAAGCGUGAGUGACGGUAAUGGGUAAAGAAGCACCGGCUAACUACGUG